This 397-nucleotide ribosomal RNA is filed under the name Chloropicon mariensis. RNAcentral's name for it is "partial Bacterial large subunit ribosomal RNA". It matches the Rfam family "Bacterial large subunit ribosomal RNA", at positions 508 to 907 of the family's 2925-position model. Lineage: Eukaryota; Viridiplantae; Chlorophyta; Chloropicophyceae; Chloropicales; Chloropicaceae. The record is from RNAcentral.
GGAAAGGUGAAAAGCACCCCGAUGAGGGGAGUGAAACAGUACCUGAAACCGGUUGCCUACAAGCAGUGGGAGGAUCCUUGAGAUCUGACCGCGUACCUCUUGCAUAAUGGGUCAGUGACUUAAUGUAUCGAGCAAGCUUAAGCCGUUAGGUGUAGGCGCAGCGAAAGCGAGUCUGAACAGGGCGACCAGUCGCCGGCAGAAGACCCGAAACCUGGUGAUCUAGCCAUGGACAGGCUGAAGGUGGGGUAGCACCCACUGGAGGGCCGAACCCACGCCUGUUGAAAAAGUCGGGGAUGAGCUGUGGCUAGGGGUGAAAGGCCAAUCAAACCAGGAAAUAGCUGGUUCUCCGCGAAAGAUAUUUAGGUAUCGCCUCGGAUGAAUACCUCAGGGGGUAGAG